CAGUAGCCGCGGUAAUACGUAGGUGGCAAGCGUUGUCCGGAAUUAUUGGGCGUAAAGGGCUCGCAGGCGGUUUCUUAAGUCUGAUGUGAGAGCCCCCGGCUCAACCGUGGAGGGUCAUUGGAAACUGCUAAACUUGAGUGCAGAAGGGGAGAGUGGAAUUCCAUGUGUAGCGGUGAGAUGCGUAGAUAUAUGGAGGAACACCGGUGGCGAAAGCGGCUCUCUAGUCUGUAACUGACGCUGAGGCUCGAAAGCGUGGGGAGCGAACAGGAUUAGAGACCCCAGUAGUCCCUGUCUCUUAUAC
This 301-nucleotide ribosomal RNA is filed under the name uncultured bacterium. RNAcentral's name for it is "partial 16S ribosomal RNA". It matches the Rfam family "Bacterial small subunit ribosomal RNA", at positions 509 to 807 of the family's 1533-position model. The record is from RNAcentral.